UAGGGAAUCUUCCGCAAUGGACGCAAGUCUGACGGAGCAACGCCGCGUGAGUGAAGAAGGAUUUCGGUUCGUAAAACUCUGUUGUUAGAGAAGAACAGCGCAUAGAGUAACUGUUAUGCGUGUGACGGUAUCUAACCAGAAAGCCACGGCUGACUACGUGCCAGCAGCCGCGGUAAUACGUAGGUGGCAAGCGUUGUCCGGAUUUAUUGGGCGUAAAGCGAGCGCAGGCGGUCAAUUAAGUCUGAUGUGAAAGCCCCCGGCUCAACCGGGGAGGGUCAUUGGAAACUGGUUGACUUGAGUGCAGAAGAGGAGAGUGGAAUUCCAUGUGUAGCGGUGAAAUGCGUAGAUAUAUGGAGGAACACCAGUGGCGAAGGCGACUCUCUGGUCUGUAACUGACGCUGAGGCUCGAAAGCGUGGGUAGCAAACAGG
This 429-nucleotide ribosomal RNA is filed under the name Bacteroidota bacterium. Its description in RNAcentral is "Bacteroidetes bacterium partial 16S ribosomal RNA". It matches the Rfam family "Bacterial small subunit ribosomal RNA", at positions 355 to 776 of the family's 1533-position model. Lineage: Bacteria; Pseudomonadati; Bacteroidota. The record is from RNAcentral.